Long non-coding RNA from Lemur catta (Ring-tailed lemur), 889 nucleotides. RefSeq lists it as uncharacterized. The transcript has 5 exons. The record is from RefSeq and is a predicted model, not a curated record. Lineage: Eukaryota; Metazoa; Chordata; Mammalia; Primates; Lemuridae.
CUUCCUUCCAAACUCCUGGGAGAAAAGACAAGAGGGAAAAUAUGCGAGCAUUAUAAAAGUAUGCCUAUCGCUGAUACUUUCUUAAACCACAGGUGUGCGGGAUCUCCUCCCGUUAGAUGUCAGAUGCAGACUGACUGACUGAUAGACAACCUACUUGGAACGCAAAUUUGCGGUGCUCUUGCCAAAUUGGCAAGGGCUGGUCCUGUUCUUGUCGAGGUGCUGUUUGCCUGUGCACAGAACGGGAGUGCAGCACCUGUCUGCAAUUCCUCCUGAUGAUGGAUUAAAAAGAUGCUAGAACCAGGUGGCCGGUUUUGAGGCCGCAGAACCAGCGGCGCUCGGACCGCAGAGCCGGCUGCCCCUCGGCGCGCGUGCGGACGGAGGGCGCCUGCGGCUGCGCGGGAACGCGCUGAAGCGCUGCGGGCAGCGCGCGGGAGCCGGGACGGAGCGGAGCUAAAGAAGUAAACAGCUCAUGGCACGUUUAACAAAAAGAUGACAGGCGGAUACAAAAGCUAUCCAGCAUCUUUGGGCAGCCAUUGAGAUUAUACGGAACCAGAAGCAAAUUGCCAACAUUGACUGUAUUACCAAGACUGUCGUGCUCCAGCUCCUGAGGACUUUACCAUGGAUCCGUGCGUUACUGUGAAUCGUCUCACGUGAGGAUGUCUCACCCUGUCCAUUGCAGCUGCAAGACAGAGUCUCACUGUGUUGCCUGGGCUAGAAUUUCCAAUCAAGAUGUAAAGGGUGAAGAAUCAAAGAACAAAGAAUCAGUAACAAGUGAAAUUUAAGCCUUCAGUCAUGCAGAUUCCUAAUAUGAUUCAUAACUCAUUGUCAUGUUAUUUCUCUAAAUGCCAUGUAUAGUUUAAUGUCCAAUAAAAUCAAGUUACAUAUAUCA